This is a long non-coding RNA of Hipposideros armiger (great roundleaf bat), 2641 nucleotides long. RefSeq lists it as uncharacterized. The transcript has 3 exons. Lineage: Eukaryota; Metazoa; Chordata; Mammalia; Chiroptera; Hipposideridae. The record is from RefSeq and is a predicted model, not a curated record.
GGAAAGGGCGACUGAGGCUCAAGUCUCUUAAAUAACAUACCAAUUUACUACCAAGAUGAAGGGCAGUAACAUGCGUUCAUGACCAUUUAAUUGAGCAUUUACUGGGUGCUGGCACCAUGCCAUGUAUUUCCUGUUCAUCGUCUCAUCAACCGUAAUAAAAACCUUACGAGCUCGAUUUCACUACUUCAGCCUUUUUAUAGUUUUCAGAAAACUAUGAUUCAGAGAGGUUAGGUGUCUUGUCCAAAGCCACUCAACUACUAAACAGCAGAACUGUAUUUCAUGUUCAUGUUCUUGUUAAUUUAAAUUUACUUAACUUUUUGAACAGGUAAAUCAUUCACGUGUUUCAAAAACUGUAAAUUAUACAGUUAUACAGUGAAAAGUCUUCCUCCCAUCCUUGUCUCCAGCAUAUAUAAGUGAACACUAUUUUUAGUUUCUCAUAUAACCUUCUAGGAUUUUCUGCUCUAUACAAAUAUGAAUACAGACUUAUACUCCCAUUUUUUUAAUAUGAGGUAAGUUAUUACUUAUAUAAGAGGUAACAGUCACCUGCAUUUUGGUUUUUUUACUAAACAAUACACCUUGGAGAUCUUUUGACAUCAUUGUAUGAAAAGCCUCAUUGUUUUGUUAUCAACUGCAUAGUAUUUCACUGUAUGGAUAUACCAUUAGUUAUUAAACUAGAUCUUUAUUAAUCAAUAUCGCUUUCUCCUCCAAUUUUUCCUAUUAUAAACAAUGCUGCAAAUAUAACCUGUAUAGGUGUAAUUUUGCAUUUGUGCAUGUGUAUUUGUAGGAUUCAUUUUCAGGUGUGGACAUGCUAUGUCAAGGGGAUACACACUUGUCAUUUUGGUAGAUACCACAUUGCCGCCCACAGGAUUAUAACAAUUUAAUCUCCCACCAAAAAUAUAUGAAUGUCCCUCCCUGUUUCCUUAUAGCCUCUGUUAUUAAACUCUUGGAACUUCUGAUAGGUGAAAAAUGUGGUUUAAAUCUGCACUUCCCUUCUUAUGAGCAGAAGUGACUAUCCUUUCAUGUUUGACAUCAUUUUAUAUUUUUCUGUAAAGUAUCUGUUCUUACAUUUUGUUAAUUUUUCUGGGAGGUCUUUACCUCAUCUAUUUGAAAAAGCUCUUUACAUAUUAGGGAGAGGAGUCCCUUGCCUGUUAUAUGAAUUACAGAUCCAUUCCCUAGGUUUUCUAAAGCCCACCUUUGGAUUUUAAGGUGCUUGUGUAACAGAGUUUUGAUUUCUACUCAUACAUAGUUCAGUUUAUUAAUUUAAUUCGAUGGCUUCUGGGUUUUCAUUUGCAGUUAGGAAGGUCUUCCUUACUUGAAGUUUAUCAAGAAAUUUUACCACGUUUUUUUUCCCCAGAGCUUUUAGUUUCAUUUUUCACAUUUAAAUUAUUGAUCCAUUUGAAAUUUAACUUGGUGUAAAGUAAAAGAUAUGGCUCCAAUUUCAUUUUUUUCCAGAUGGCUACUAAGUUGUCCCAAUAAUAUUUAGUGAAUAAUUCAUCUGUUUCCCACUGAGAUGCUACCUUUAUCAUAUACACAAUUCUAGUAUUUAAUUUUGGAUUGAUUUAGGUCUAAUUCUGGAUUUUCCUAUCUAUUUCAUUUGCCCCUUUUGAGGGAUGGUCUCUAACUUCCAGCAAUCACAGACGUGGCAGUCAGAAAACUCACCGUGCUGCUUCUUUCUUCCAGUCUAAUUUUUUGGUACUUUUGUCAUUCUUCAUUGGUUGGGGAAUACAGUAUUUAUAUUUGCUUCUGUCACCCUAUUUCCCACCUUUGUUUUUGUAUGAAUUCUAUAGUUAAAUAUAUUCGCUUGUCACUGACAUUAAUUUUGUGUGGUUUCCCCAAUCAUCUCCUGGUUGGCUUAAGUUCAUCUUCUAGUAGUUUCCUCAAAAAGAAUUCAUGGGAACAACAGUCUUUGAGAUUGUUGUUACAAGUCUUUUUGUUAUCCCGAAAUUCUUAUGUUGAAGUCUUAACCUUUAAUAUCUCAGAAUGUAGCAUGUAUUUGGAGAUAAGGCCCUUUUUAAAGAGGGGAUUAAGUUGAAAUGAGGCCAUUAGUAUGGGACCCUAAUCCAAUCUAACUGGAUUUGUAUGAAGGAUUUAUAGAAUAGGAAGAGAAGCAUCAAGGUCACGAGUAUGCUGUGAAGCCGCAGCAAGAGGACUGCCAUUUGGAAGCCAAAGAGACAGGACGCAGGGGAAACCAACCCUCCUGGCAUCUGGAUCUCCCGUCUCCUCGCCUCCAGAACUAUGCUGGCACUUGCUUGGACAGAAGUGGUGCUGCUCCAGUUCCGUGCAUGGGCUCUACGAGGCCCGGACGCUUCUGUUUUCACCUGCGUAGAGCCCUAAGCCACCAUGUGAAAAGGUACAGCUACUCUGCUGGAGAGAUUACACGGACAGCGAACAUUCCCAGCUGUGCCCCAGCGAUUCCAGCCACUCUAGCUGAGGCGCCAGAAAUGUAAACUAGACUUUACUGCUCCUGCUGACUCCAGGCUGGGCCAUGUGAGCUGCUUUGGCCAAAGGAGUGUGAGUAGAGAUGAUGUAUGUUAAUGUCAAACAGGCUUAUAUUGUUUGGCUGUUUUUCUUCAAGCCUCCACCUUCUUUCAUGAGAAUAGCACUGAGAUUUUGGGUUGUCUGUUGCCAAGGCAAAAGUUGA